GAAAUGCGAUAAGUAGUGUGAAUUGCAGAAUUCAGUGAAUCAUCGAAUCUUUGAACGCACAUUGCGCCCCUCGGUAUUCCGUGGAGCAUGCCUGUUCGAGCGUCAUCUACACCCUCAAGCUCUGCUUGGUGUUGGGCGUCUGUCCCGCCUCCGCGCGCGGACUCGCCCCAAAUGCAUUGGCAGCGGUUCCUUGCCCCCCUCUUUGCGCAGCACAUUGCCAUUCGAGGCGGCGGCGGCCCGCGUCCAACAAGCUCAACCCCCCCGUCUUUGACCUCGGAUCAGGUAGGGAUACCCGCUGAACUUAAGC
RNAcentral lists this unclassified non-coding RNA (307 nucleotides) under plant metagenome. RNAcentral's name for it is "partial contains 5.8S ribosomal RNA, internal transcribed spacer 2, and large subunit ribosomal RNA". The stretch from base 1 to 105 matches the Rfam family "5.8S ribosomal RNA", at positions 50 to 154 of the family's 154-position model. The record is from RNAcentral.